UUUAUGGAGAGUUUGAUCCUGGCUCAGGAUGAACGCUGGCGGCGUGCCUAAUACAUGCAAGUCGAGCGAACGGACGAGAAGCUUGCUUCUCUGAUGUUAGCGGCGGACGGGUGAGUAACACGUGGAUAACCUACCUAUAAGACUGGGAUAACUUCGGGAAACCGGAGCUAAUACCGGAUAAUAUUUUGAACCGCAUGGUUCAAAAGUGAAAGACG
Molecule: ribosomal RNA, 215 nt
Filed under: Staphylococcus aureus
Lineage: Bacteria; Bacillati; Bacillota; Bacilli; Caryophanales; Staphylococcaceae
Description: partial 16S ribosomal RNA
Rfam family: Bacterial small subunit ribosomal RNA
Source: RNAcentral